CACAUAUAUAAACUCCGGGUAAAGAAUUUUACCAUAUUUUCAACGUAAACACAGUUUCAGUCACUAUGUAACAAGUUAUCUAAAUAAGAGAUUCCGUGUACACAUGCAGAAGCUCCAUCCAUCUCCAUCAAGGCAACAGUUUUUCUGAAUUCCAGGACAUGGUAGGCAAAGCCUAUUUGAGUUCCGUCGUAUCUACAUGUUUAACACACGCAAAUACUUAUCAUCAUUUCCUUCUCUGAGGAUCCCGACUAAGACCAUGUUUCCUCAAAGUUCUGAUAUAAUUUCGUGAUAGACUGAAUUUGUUAGAACCCAGAUGGUGCAAGUAGUCCCAAGUGAAGAUCCCAGUCUUGUGCAAAUCAUCAAACAGUAUCCUGUGGUCCAAAAGAGUCGCUAUAGACGAGACUUGCAGACAAGAACAAAUUAAUAGUUUCUGAGAGAUAGAGAUGGCACAGCUAACUAUUUUUUGCAUGAGGCAUACUAUUGUCCGAAGUAGAUAAAUCUGCCAUGAAAUCUAUUCUACAAAUAAUAUGAGCCUCACCAGACUCCAUAGUUUCCUAUUGAUUCAGCUGACAUUAUUCCAACAUGUCGGCACCCAAAAAUAGCCUAGGAUAAUUUCAAGGGUGAAUAUUAAGCAAGCAAUAAAUACUCGUCACAAAAUAUGCAAAUAUUCUAAAGGUGUAUUGUUCAAGUUUUUUUACAUAGUUUUAAAUAGCACGCUAUGCCUCUUAGUGGCAGGCCUCUUCUAAACGAUAUAGUGUGCUAUUUAAAAUGUUUGUUCAUUUGUUUGAAUCAAAGUCACUUAGCUCAGGACGUCUUCUAUACGGUAUAGCGUGCUAUAGCUCGCUAUUUAAGACCAUCGUUUUGUAGGACAAGUAAAUAGUCCAGGGUUAACAAAUAGUUCUAAACUUGCUAUGGCAGCGUACGCCCCCACCAACUUAAAAACACAGCUUUCCAACUUCAAAUGCUGACAAGGAAUGCACAAAAUACACUGAAAUUUUACCUUCUUGACAGCUAUUGAUCUGAUCUUAUUGUCAGCUGCCGGACUGUAGACUCUAAGAAACUCGGCUGAGAGAUGGAAUGUACUGCCGUCUGCAAAUUCAACCUCUACCUGAGAACAACCACAAACAUAGUUCAACUCACCAAUAUGAGAUGGAAUUUUUGCAGCAAGUUAGAAUUUUAGAGAAAUAACUUCCUUGUAAUUUUACAGCCAACUUUAUGUGCUAAUGGUUAUCGCAUUCAGACAAUGUGAGUCUUUUUCUGCAACAACUUGUUGUGUGUAAGUAUGUUUAAGUCAUGACAGAUGCCUGCUGUUCUAAGGUUGUAGAAAAAAAGUAAGAUUCAACAUCAAGAUCCACUAGUGCUAGGUUACAUUCCAAAUUCAUCGCCAGAUAAUUAUAUCAAUUGAUCUGUGAAGCAGCCGAGUAGCAGAAAGUAGGUACUAUUUACUAGCAAUAGCCAGCCAAUGGAGAUAACUGAAUGAAUUUGUAAAUUCUGGAUAAGCUCAUUCAAAUGGAUAUGGUACUAAAAGUACUGUACGACUGGUCAGGAAUGGAUAACCAGCAAGGGCCAGGCUCUAGAGAUCGCUUUCCCCUACCACAGAUUAGGAGCUCGGCAUGGACCGCGCCGCAGGAUUUCACGUCAAUUUCAGUGCCCACAAGUUACACUUCUUGUCACAUACUCACAUUACAAUCACACGGAACGUCUUUUUUCCUAUGCUGCCAUGAAUGCGUGAACUCGGCAUUUCAGCUAAAACUAGAAGCACUGAACGCUAGACGACUAGACCACAAUAAUCAGAACAGUCACCACCAACCAACAGAAGCACUAAGACAAUAUCCUUAACUUUUUUUUAGAAAGGGGGAGGACCCCGCCUCUGCAUCUGGACGAUGCAUACGGCCACUUUAUUAAUUAUUCUCACAAGACCUUACAAAGUCAUACAACAGUAAGACUAAAGCCACCGUCUAAGCAUCAACUGUCGCUACUCCUAUCCAAUUGAUGAAGGGGCGCUGAUAGUCUGGGCCUAAUACCAAGCAGACAUCGCAGCCAAACCUAAACAUCUAAGACCUGAGGUCCCAACCAGGACGCUUGCCGGGUAUGGGGCACCUACCAGUCCGGCGCACACCUCAACCAGGACGCCUGCCGGGUAUGAGGCCGCCGCAGCCACCUGCCACCAAUCCAUUUUCAGUGUUGUACUGCUGCACCACCUUGCCCGGCCUCUCUGCCAUCGACGCCACCACGACGCCUGAUAACGUCACCCUCCUGCGCGCAGUGGCGGUGCCAGAAGUUCAAUGUUGUGUAGUCAAUUUGAAAUUGUGUAGUCAGAUAUAUGAAUUCCUAUUUAUUUUUUGCAAGAUGUAUACAUGUAUACAUUGAUUUUAUCAAAAAGCUGGGUAGUCAAUUGACUACCCAGCUUACAUGUGGCUUCGCCACUGCCUGCGCGAGUCCCUCGCCACACAUCGGGCGCCGAGUCUCCACUGCGCCACGCCGCCGAGAAACGCCACCAUUAAUCUGUAGGAUGAAUCACCGCUCCACCAAUUAUUCCGUCCACUGGUCCCUCGAGCCCGUGUACACCUCCAAGCAUGACGCCACAAGAGGGAAACGACACAAUAAUGCCAACGUCAUCCGAUCUACUGAUCUAGGGUUUCCCCCGGAGGUAGCAGAUAGUGGCCUGGAACUUCUCAGCAGCGAUGCUUUCAACAAGGGAACGACACCGAAUAGUGCCGCCAUCGCCGGCCUCGGCAGCAGCUGCGAGCAGGUCUUCACCCAGAUCUGUUCCAAUGGCCUCCAUCAAGCGUCUUGUGCACGGAUCGUCCACCACCGUGACCGCUGCGUCGCCCGUCGCGAGUCCACAGCCGCCGACACAUCCUCCGCCGUCCGAGGCCGCCGCCCCGGGAUCCAGCCCUCGCUGGCCGCCGGAACAAAGCCACCGAGCCCCAUCGAGGGCGGCCAACGGGGGCGAAGAAGCUAGAUCCGGCCAAGCCCGGCCAGGAUCCGGCCUCUCCCCGCGCUGAAGCCACUCCCGCGGCCCUGCAUCUCGCCCGCGCCCGAGGCGACGCAGGCAGCGCAUGCGCGCGCAACGCCGUGAAGAGGGGAAACGCCCCGCCGCCACCUUCCCUGGGGCGCACGCGGACUUCGCCUGCGGCCCCUCCAGCGGCGGCGAAGCGAGGAAGGGGGCGAGGGGGACCUGGCGGCGGCGGCGCUAGGGUUCCCCCGUGUCGCCCGGGGGCGACGCAGGGGCGAGGGGGCGUGGGUUCCUAAUAGUUUAUAUUGUUUCCAGUUAGACAAUAUCCUUAAUAACCAACAGGAGUACUAAAUUACGGAUUAAACAAGAACGUCUCAUGUGAGUUGAUAAAUUUCUUUAACUAGAAGAUGCCCCGCGCGUUGCUGCGGGACCAUUUGCUACAACUAUAUUGUCUUAUAAAGAAACAAAAAUAUAUAAUGUAAAGUCAACGACCUAUGUAAUCUAGCGUGAUGUUCACAAAGAUUAAAUGAAGCCUUAGAACAUGUCGUAAAUAGAAUAUUGGUGAUAAGAACACAAUACGUAUGCGAAAUGAACUCCAUAACCAAUGACUGAAUCGGAAAGCACCUGCAAAUGAGCCACUAAAUGUCCUUCUCUCUAAAUUCCUGAAGCCAAGCUUUUGAAUGACAAAAGUGAAGCACUGAAAUUAGUACUGGUCUCAAUAUCUGAAGGAGGAAAAAAGUGAUAACAAUGGGCAUGGUUUUCUGAUCGUCCCAACUCGCGAUGUUUAGGUACAUCAAAACUAAAGGAUCACAAAAAUUAAGGUGCAUCUACUAAGUAAUAAUGAUCUAAGUGACAUUAUCAAGAAUAUGCUACAGCAAUGAAUGUGCAGCAAGCGGAUGGGUCUGUCACCAUUUCUCUGCUGAUCUGUACGCGAUACCAGUAUGUCCACCCUGUGUAGAAGACAGUAAAAUGAAAUUGUGAAAACAAAAUAGUUGCCUCACAUAUAGCCUACCUAAAUUCAUCCAAGCCUAUCUUCUUGAUUGAGUGACAAUUAUGACUUACUUGAAUAGAAGGGAUAAUGAGAUUUCGUCCUGGGUUGUAGUAGAUGAUUUGUUCCAACCAAUGCAUUGCAUGGAAUGAAGGGAAUCAUAUGAAUGUGAUUUGUAACGUACUGAAACAAAUAUAGGAUGCAUGUCAUGCGUUCAUCAAGUUCAGAUGAUAAAUUUUACAAAUGGGAUGAUUAUCUACUAACUCAAGCGGUAAGAAACCUAUGCAGGAAGAAAGCACAAAUAACCAUCGCAAUCUGCAACAAAUCAUCGAGCAACCUGUGGCCAAAUCUUAGAAAAUAAGAAAUCAGAUAAAAGAUUGGAUUAGACAAAGAAAAGAGGGCUAGAGAGGGACCCAAUCAAUCAGCAUGUACAUGUUGGGAAGUGUAAUCAAAGAUCUGAGUCCAGUUGUGGUGGAAGACGAUUGUCUUCUUUCAGAAAAUAAGAUUCAUGUGUGCACUCCAGGCUGAUAUUUAAAGGAUAAGCGAGCGGUUCAGUUACUUCCUCCGCAUUUGUGUCAUUGUGUGGUGCGGCCGUUCGUUUCUGGCACAUUUGCAGGAAAGGAGAUUGUGGGGAAGAGGAGCCGAUUAGGCAGAGUCAACAGCCGAACAGGCACAUGCAAGAUAGUAGAAGGCAGGAAUCCAACGUCGUGCCAUAGUGGGCAUUUAUUUUGGCAUGUAUUAGCAGAUGGGCCAAUAAGCUGGCCUACUACGAGUUUGUACAUGCAGCAGACCAUGAGGCAUACGGUGGCCUGGGGUCGCGGCGAGGUGGCGUCAGUGGCGGAGGAGCAUCGAUUCCUAUGUGCGCUAUUGGCGGUUGUGCGGCCAGGGGAUAGGCGACCCUGUGUGCAAUAGGUUGUGACCGCCAUGGCGGCGCGGACGGCCCAGUGCAGGAGCGAUCCAGCUUUUUGAUGGGUCGUGGUGAAUGGAGGACUCUCCUCUUAUUUCUCUCGUCAGUUACGGAAUAGGAAGAGGAACAAAUGCGUCUUACAUGGAAAUUAAACAGCACCAUUAGUUGAAAUAAAAACUAAAAUAUUAUUGAUGUGGCUGAGCUGUGAGAUAGUUGUGAACUUGUGAUUGGUUGAUAUUUGAUGACAUGGCGUGCUGAGUUGGACCACUUGCAUGUCAAAAGAAUACCUUGUAGUGGGGAGCAACUUCUUAAGAAUGUAAGAUGAAUGUUUCACCUUAUGGUACUGCAAGCAGGGAUGUCGCCAUGAGGCUCCACAAUAAUGGAAAAAAAAAAAGGAGACAAAUUCUAUAAUCAAUCAGCACAUGUUGAUUAAUUCAAUGCAAGUAAUUUUAGAGUAAAUUACACUUGCGGUCACAAAACUUGUCGGGCAUAUGAAGUUGCCACUAGCCUUGGAACUUGGUGGAGCAUGUCGGUGAGUUCACAAAUAUGCGACGUCAACCAAGAAUGCAGUUUGACGUGCUAACAUGGCCUUCCUUCCUCUCUUUUUUUGGCAAAAAAAGGAAGCACCUAACUGUACAAACACCCCAAAUAGUAAUAAUAAUUUAACAAAAACAAUUUCGAAUCUAGCAAUGAGAUUGGUGUACAAGUUUUACUUUCUCUUUGUGAAAAUAGGGGAGUGGGUUGUGUCUUCGUCGUGCAGUUGGUGCUUAAUUUGGAAGCAACGACGAUCAUUUCAUUAUUCCAUUUGCUCAGGAGGAUGUCUAGGUGUGUGAUCAACCCAACGUCUUCUUCUUUUCCAGCCCGUCGAUCCUUCAAAACCGACAUCAUGUCGUUACUGACACUUCCCCACAGAGAUCGGUGACCUUUUGACUGCCUGCACGGAUACUUGUUCCGGAGACGGCAUAGCAUUCCACUGGGAAAACUUUGAUGUGCCAUUGAUAAGUGCGGGAUGAAGAGGAUGGAGGACACCCCCAGGGACUAGAUUGUAUUUACCUUUAUUACAUGGGUUGUCUUGUAAUGUUGGUGUUAGUUAAUUUUGAGCUGUCAUUCUUUUGGAAGAAAAAAAGUUAAACAUGACGACCAACUAGAGCAUACCAUCAACUUUGGACGCACAAUAAACAAAAGUGAAGCCUACCGUCCUUUGCUCAAAUACUGUACGUACGCGUGCCAACCAUGUACUGAAGGUUCACGGACGCAGUAUGUGUCUAUGAAUUGGUGUCCGUCGCCACAGCGGUGCCUCCUGCAUGACUGGUUGGCCAAAUGUGCAUGAGCUACGUGUGAUAUCCAAGCAAGUUGCAUGCUCGGGACAUAUAAAUGGGGCCAACAUCCAGCUCUGAUCAAUCAUCUGUAUCACUGUAUGAUUAGACAAGAUUGUUGUCAGAGCCAAGUGACAUGUAUCUUAACCGUUUUGGGUGUACCUUACUACUGGUCUCUGUGAAGUGAGAUACUGGAGUAAACCAAGUGCAAAUUUUGUCAAUCCCAAGCAAGCUCUUGCAAGAAGGAGCAACGACACCGUGGCUGAGCUGGUGCUGUCAAAUAUCGGCAAGCUGAUGGCUGAGCUGGGAUCGGUGCUGCCAUGGGAGAUCAAAGCGGCAUGCAUGGCCGUGGAGGUGGGCACAACUAAGAUCCUUGAUCUGAUCAAGGGGCGUAGGUCGUUCCCCCUGUACCGGUUUAGUCAUGAGGCGACCAUCUUGCUGUGAGCUCCUGACCAGUGAGAUGUGCAUGGCAUGCAGGGAUGAAUGAUGCAAGGUGUUCAUGGGCAUAUGCCAUGGCAAGCUCAUUGACUCCAUGGCCGGCGUAGUGCCCGAGGCUACUUUCAAGGUGGCAUUGUUUACAUGAUCAGAGGUACAUGUAGGAUGCUGCCAUGAUGAUCUUUCCCUCACCUCCUGUUCCACCGUAAAUAUAAAGUAGAAAAGAUUUCAUGCAGAAAUCAUAAUGAACAGGAAAAUAGUUCUACCGACAGAACUCAAGAAAGACAUACAAUCCCAUCCAGCACAUGUGUAUGAACUCAGUGUAAAGAAUAUUAUCAUAUUCUAAAUGGAAACACAGUUUCUGACACUAUGUAAUAAGUUAUCUGAAUUAAGAGAUUUUGUGUGCACAUGUAGAAGCUCCAUCCAUCCACAUGGCAGGCAAACCCUAUUUGAGUUCCGUCGUACCUACAUGCUUAAGACACACAAAUACUUACCAUCAUUUUCUUCUCUGAGGAUCCCGACUAAGACCGUGUUUCCUCAAAGUUUUGAUAUAAUUUCGUGACAGACUGAAUUUGUUAGAACCCAGAUGGUGCAAGUAAUCCCAAGUGAAGAUCCCAGUCUUGUGCAAAU
Molecule: long non-coding RNA, 7235 nt
Filed under: Triticum aestivum (bread wheat)
Lineage: Eukaryota; Viridiplantae; Streptophyta; Magnoliopsida; Poales; Poaceae
Description: long non-coding RNA (TAES_LNC000606)
Source: RNAcentral